AAACGAGCUUGUGAUCUUUAUUAUCUUAUUUUCUUUCCCGCAUCUCUUGCACUCUGCCUUCCGAGCAAUAGGAUGUGCUGGUCGAAAUAUAUAUUUUAAAUAUAAAAAGAAGGAAGAGAGGAAUUUAAUGGCACGCGCGUGUGCCGGCGAUCAGAAGUCAUACGUGUAAAGUAGUUAGGUGUGGCUGAUCUUAACAUCUGUUUGGCUGAGGGAACGUUGGCAUCAAGUCAUCCAAAGUUAGGUGGAGCAAGCAUUCACGAGACUUACUUGGGUACAACAGCCAAAGGCAGCACCACCAAAUCAUCCAAUUAGCGAUCAAAGAGCCAAGCCCAC
RNAcentral lists this long non-coding RNA (333 nucleotides) under Elaeis guineensis (African oil palm). RNAcentral describes it as "long non-coding RNA (EGUI_LNC039434)". The record is from RNAcentral. Lineage: Eukaryota; Viridiplantae; Streptophyta; Magnoliopsida; Arecales; Arecaceae.